UACAGUCAAUUUAUGUUAAAGUCUCUCCAGUUUCAUGGAGCUAUUCCCCGCUGAUUUUCACACGGAAGAUGCCUUCAUUGGAACCAGACCGUAAGGUUCUACAUUUAUCCCAUGAGGGACAUCCAGUUUGAUGUUUGCAUCAUCUCAGGCGGUGUUGGAUUUUUGGGACAAAAAAGGAAGACAUUAUAACAAGUUUUGAAGAACAGGUG
Molecule: long non-coding RNA, 209 nt
Organism: Austrofundulus limnaeus
Lineage: Eukaryota; Metazoa; Chordata; Actinopteri; Cyprinodontiformes; Rivulidae
Exons: 3
Source: RefSeq, a predicted model, not a curated record